GACGAACCGUGCGAACGUUGUUCGGAUUCACUGGGCUUAAAGGGCGCGUAGGCGGGCUCGCAAGUCAGGGGUGAAAUCCUCCGGCUCAACCGGAGAACUGCCUUUGAUACUGCGGGCCUAGAGGGAGGUAGGGGUCGACGGAACUUCCGGUGGAGCGGUGAAAUGCGUAGAUAUCGGAAGGAACGCCGGUGGCGAAAGCGGUCGACUGGACCUCUUCUGACGCUGAGGCGCGAAAGCCAGGGGAGCAAACGGG
Molecule: ribosomal RNA, 253 nt
Filed under: uncultured bacterium
Lineage: Bacteria
Description: partial 16S ribosomal RNA
Rfam family: Bacterial small subunit ribosomal RNA
Source: RNAcentral